Molecule: ribosomal RNA, 118 nt
Organism: Stanieria cyanosphaera PCC 7437
Lineage: Bacteria; Bacillati; Cyanobacteriota; Cyanophyceae; Pleurocapsales; Dermocarpellaceae
Source: Rfam
CCUGGUGCUUUGAGCGCGAUGGUCCCACUUCGAUUCCAUCCCGAACUCGAAAGUGAAACGUUGCAGCGGCGAAGAUACUCCUCGGGUAGCCGAGCGGGAAAAUAGCUCAGUGCCAGGU